This is a long non-coding RNA of Drosophila sulfurigaster albostrigata, 1357 nucleotides long. RefSeq lists it as uncharacterized. The transcript is spliced from 2 exons. NCBI's taxonomy places the organism in Eukaryota, Metazoa, Arthropoda, Insecta, Diptera, Drosophilidae. The record is from RefSeq and is a predicted model, not a curated record.
ACUGCAAGUAAAAAAUGAGAAGCGUAAAGCGUAAACAUUAAAUCAAUAAACAUUGAUAAAGAAAAGCUGUUCAUACUAUAUACUAUAAGUACAUAUGUAUAUAUAUAUUGUCAUGUCAAAGCUCAGCAACGUACUAAACUCGGCGUCACUAUGCAAGCGAUAUUUAUUAGAAAAAUAAGAAAGCAAAUCAAAAAAAAAUUAUGCAAUUAAUACUUUUAAUUUAUAUAAGUGAAGUGCUGUUUAUAUAAUUUCUCGCAACAAAAACAAAGGGUGCAACAUUUUCGUGUGUAUUACCAUAUAGAAUUAAUUAAAUGCAUAUUUAUAGCUAAAUCAUUCUGCCAAUGCAAUCUGCAAUUUCAAAGUCAAUAAACUCUCAAUGCAAGUUUCGCAAAAGCUUUUUUCGCUGCAAGUUUUUAACGUUGCCUGCAAAAGCUGCGCUACCAAAAGCUGAAAGCUGUGUGCACUUUGAGUUGUUGUUGCUAUUAUGUGGAUAAUGUUUGCUGGUAUAGUGGGUGUAGUGAGCAACGAAACUGCCGGCAAACACGGUUAGCACCGAAAGAAUACAGUUUGUUUACCUGGCCAAAAUGCAGAGGGUUGGAAAUUUUCCACUAUCAAACACAGCUCAAAUCACAUCAAAACAAGUGGAAAAUUUUCACUUGUAACAGCUGAUGCAGCAAACAGCAACAAAGAGAAAGAUCAAGAAGUAUUUUUGGGGUGAUAUUAAAAUACCAGUUGGUCUAAUUGGGCAAACGAUUGUGACCAGUUAGAAUGCGGCACGUGCGUCAAGUGAGGGAAAAUCAAUGAACAAAAAAGAAACAAGUGUGUGUGGAUCGUCAGUCCAAGAGUAAUGUGCGAAAAUAUUAUUCUACAUAUUUAUGUAUGAAUCACACCCACGCAUGUGACGUAGACUUGCGUCGAUAAGAAAAAAACAUAACAAAAACAAAAGAAAAAUUUUUUUUUGUACUUACCCAAAAAAUGUGAAAUCACUAAUUAUCUUUCACUCUUUUUAUAAAUAAAUUGAUAUAUGUAAAUUAGAAAUGUUUCAACCGCGCCAUUUUGUACUAUUUAUAGAAUUUCAACACUUUUUAGUUUUAUCAACUACAAACAAUUACACACACUUUUUAAUAGAUUUUCAAUUUGAUACUUUGUUUCUAUGCGCAGAGACUUUGAUUUCGCUAUGCGCUGCUGCUGCUUCUGUUUUGUUGGACGGUCACCCCGCCUUCUUACACCUUCUUCUGACAGUCACCACUUCACCGCCUCCUUCGCUGCUGCUUUGACAACGCAGCUGCUUUCGUUGCGUAAAUUAUGCAAAUUUCAAAAAAAAAUUUCGCUAAUAAAAUUUACGUUAGGGCUUUGA